Molecule: long non-coding RNA, 1436 nt
Filed under: Equus asinus (donkey)
Lineage: Eukaryota; Metazoa; Chordata; Mammalia; Perissodactyla; Equidae
Description: lncRNA (ENSEASG00005033237.1)
Source: RNAcentral
UUCCCCUCCUCUCCCUCACUCCCCACCAGGAAAAAGCUGGAAAUAGUGAGAGAUGAGGGGAGGGAGACGGUGGCUCCAAAACGCAAUGGAGGCUCAAGGAAGACGUCAGCAGACGUCCUGUUAUAUCUACCACGGCCACGAGGCCUGGCUGCAAGUGAGAGGCAUUUCUGGUGGGAAAACCCAUCAUGGGCCCCCAGGGGAGACCCCUGCCCCUGCUGGCCCUGGGCUGCCCAUCUUCGAGCCAGGAAGAAUUACAGGAAAUCCUUCUGACUUCUGGGAACAGAAGGGGCAGCAGGAGCUGUGAGCCUGAGCCAGGCCCUCCUGCUACUUCCUCAAAAUGGACAGAAGGAACCAGCUUUCUCGGGAAACAGGGCUGCUUAGCAAGAGGCCUCGGACCUGCCAUGGGAUGGAAGUAGCAAGAAAAACAAAGCAUGUCUGAGACCGAGGAUGCGAGUCAAGAAGAAGCUGAACUUGGCAGACCAGAUUCACAAAUCCAGGAUCUAGAAAUUUCCAAGUUUCUGUAAGAGGAAUGAAACCCAGCUCUGCAGUCACACGUGCCUGUGAUUUAUCUCCCCUCAACAACAUAGCCGUCUAGGAUCCCACAGAUGCUGCUUUCAAGGAACUUCAGAGGGUUCCUAGGAAAAGUUUGUUUCAAACUGAUGAAACCCCAAAUAUAUUGGAGAUCAAUAAUUUAAAGUGUCAGUAAGAUAAAAUGUUAAGAUAAGAAAAGAAUAUGGCCAAGUCAGCCAUACCUGGUGUCCAGCGAUGCUGAGGCUGCCACGCCUCUGGCAGCACACAUUGUCCAGAGUCAUGGUUAAUGAUGACAGGACCUGAGUCCUGUGAUCUAAGGUGGUGGACCCUGUAUACUCAUAGGUCUGUUCUGCGGCAGAAUUUUUUUUUUGAGGUUCUGGAAAUUUAACCUCCCUUUGUUUUUCCACCUUCUGAGCUUGGAUCUCCAGCUUCCACGGUAAUUUUAUGAGCUACCAAACGAUCAUUCAGACAAUUGAUUUUCUGGUUGAAUGAGAAUCAGUUUCUGUUAUUUCUAACUUAGACUGGACAGAGUUAUUGCAUAAAAUUCAACAAGUCAAAACAUAUUAGGUGGUUAUAAAACUAGGAUUGAAAAAAUAAUAAUUUCCACUUACGGCCAAAAAUGGAAUUUAUAGCAACAAGAUUUAUUCUCACACUUUAAGGAACUAGAAAACUGGACAAAAUGCAAAGAACAGGGGUUUUCACUCACCAAACAGGCAGUGCGAGGCUGCGAUCCCACGGAGAAGGGAACAAGGUGGGCCCCACAGCUGCACCCACUGACUGCCUGGAUGCAGUUUCCAGGCCUCAGCACAGGGAGGGCUAGCCCAAACCGGAGCCAGUUAUCUUGAUGAGUGGAAAGAGACAGAAAUCAGAGCUCAGAGAGACCCAGGUGACUAGGAUUUGUGGGG